CCUACGGGCGGCUGCAGUCGAGAAUCAUUCACAAUGGGGGAAACCCUGAUGGUGCGACGCCGCGUGGGGGAAUGAAGGUCUUUGGAUUGUAAACCCCUGUCAUGUGGGAGCAAAUUAUAAAGGUAGUACCACAAGAGGAAGAGACGGCUAACUCUGUGCCAGCAGCCGCGGUAAUACAGAGGUCUCAAGCGGUGUUCGGAAUCACUGGGCGUAAAGCGUGCGUAGGCUGUUUCGUAAGUAUGGUGUGAAAGGCGCGGGCUCAACCGUCGGACGGCACAUGAUACUGCGAGACUAGAGUAAAGGAGAGGGAACCGGAAUUCGCGGUGUAGCAGUGAAAUGCGUAGAUAUCGAGAGGAACACUCGUGGCGAAGGCGGGUUCCUGGACAUUAACUGACGCUGAGGCACGAAGGCCAGGGGAGCGAACGGGAUUAGAUACCCCUGUAGUC
This 446-nucleotide ribosomal RNA is filed under the name uncultured bacterium. RNAcentral's name for it is "partial 16S ribosomal RNA". It matches the Rfam family "Bacterial small subunit ribosomal RNA", at positions 338 to 795 of the family's 1533-position model. The record is from RNAcentral.